This 433-nucleotide ribosomal RNA is filed under the name uncultured bacterium. RNAcentral's name for it is "partial 16S ribosomal RNA". It matches the Rfam family "Bacterial small subunit ribosomal RNA", at positions 29 to 507 of the family's 1533-position model. The record is from RNAcentral.
AACGAACGCUGGCGGCAUGCCUAACACAUGCAAGUCGAACGAGACCUUCGGGUCUAGUGGCGCACGGGUGCGUAACGCGUGGGAACCUGCCCUUAGGUUCGGAAUAACUCCCCGAAGGGGGUGCUAAUACCGGAUAAUGUCUUCGGACCAAAGAUUUAUCGCCUUUGGAUGGGCCCGCGUUGGAUUAGCUAGUUGGUAGGGUAAAAGCCUACCAAGGCGACGAUCCAUAGCUGGUCUGAGAGGAUGAUCAGCCACACUGGGACUGAGACACGGCCCAGACUCCUACGGGAAGCAGCAGUGGGGAAUAUUGGACAAUGGGCGAAAGGCUGAUCCAGCAAGGCCGCGUGAGUGAUGAAGGCCUUAGGGUUGUAAAGCUCUUUUACCCGGGAUGAUAAUGACAGUACCGGGAGAAUAAGCCCCGGCUAACUCCGUG